GUUAGCUCAAUUGGUAGAGCGCUCCACCAGUAAUGGAGAGGUCCCGGGUUCGAUACCCGGACCAGGCG
RNAcentral lists this transfer RNA (68 nucleotides) under Ixodes scapularis (black-legged tick). It matches the Rfam family "tRNA". From Rfam's summary of the family: Transfer RNA (tRNA) molecules are approximately 80 nucleotides in length. Their secondary structure includes four short double-helical elements and three loops (D, anti-codon, and T loops). Lineage: Eukaryota; Metazoa; Arthropoda; Arachnida; Ixodida; Ixodidae. The record is from Rfam by way of RNAcentral.